CCUACGGGUGGCAGCAGUGGGGAAUAUUGGGCAAUGGACGAGAGCCUGAACCAGCGAAGCAGCGUGAAGGAUGACUGCCUUAUGGGUUGUAAACUCCUUUUACAUGGGAAUAAAAUGUUCCACGUGUGGGAUUUUGUAUGUACCAUAUGAAUAAGGAUCGGCCAACUCCGCGCCAGCCGCCGCGGUAAUACGGAGGAUCCGAGCGUUAUCCGGAUUUAUUGGGUUUAAAGGGAGCGUAGGGGGAUUGUUAAGUCAGUUGUGAAAGUUUGCGGCUCAACCGUAAAAUUGCAGUUGAAACUGGCAGUCUGGAGUACAGGAGAGGUAGGCGGAAUUCGUGGUGUAGCGGUGAAAUGCGUAGAUAUCACGAAGAACUCCGAUUGCGAAGGCAGUUCACUGGACUGCAACUGACGCUGAGGCUCGAAAGUGUGGGUAGCAAACAGGAUUAGAUACCCGAGUAGUC
Molecule: ribosomal RNA, 460 nt
Filed under: uncultured bacterium
Lineage: Bacteria
Description: partial 16S ribosomal RNA
Rfam family: Bacterial small subunit ribosomal RNA
Source: RNAcentral